Molecule: ribosomal RNA, 427 nt
Filed under: uncultured bacterium
Lineage: Bacteria
Description: bacterial SSU rRNA
Rfam family: Bacterial small subunit ribosomal RNA
Source: RNAcentral
UGGGGAAUAUUGCACAAUGGGCGCAAGCCUGAUGCAGCCAUGCCGCGUGUAUGAAGAAGGCCUUCGGGUUGUAAAGUACUUUCAGCGGGGAGGAAGGCGAUACGGUUAAUAACCGUGUCGAUUGACGUUACCCGCAGAAGAAGCACCGGCUAACUCCGUGCCAGCAGCCGCGGUAAUACGGAGGGUGCAAGCGUUAAUCGGAAUUACUGGGCGUAAAGCGCACGCAGGCGGUCUGUCAAGUCGGAUGUGAAAUCCCCGGGCUCAACCUGGGAACUGCAUCCGAAACUGGCAGGCUAGAGUCUUGUAGAGGGGGGUAGAAUUCCAGGUGUAGCGGUGAAAUGCGUAGAGAUCUGGAGGAAUACCGGUGGCGAAGGCGGCCCCCUGGACAAAGACUGACGCUCAGGUGCGAAAGCGUGGGGAGCAAACA